Molecule: transfer RNA, 88 nt
Filed under: Candidatus Komeilibacteria bacterium CG_4_10_14_0_2_um_filter_37_10
Lineage: Bacteria; Candidatus Komeiliibacteriota
Also listed under: 1 other name
Description: tRNA-Leu
Rfam family: tRNA
About the family: Transfer RNA (tRNA) molecules are approximately 80 nucleotides in length. Their secondary structure includes four short double-helical elements and three loops (D, anti-codon, and T loops). Further hydrogen bonds mediate the characteristic L-shaped molecular structure. tRNAs have two regions of fundamental functional importance: the anti-codon, which is responsible for specific mRNA codon recognition, and the 3' end, to which the tRNAs corresponding amino acid is attached (by aminoacyl-tRNA synthetases). tRNAs cope with the degeneracy of the genetic code in two manners: having more than one tRNA (with a specific anti-codon) for a particular amino acid; and 'wobble' base-pairing, i.e. permitting non-standard base-pairing at the 3rd anti-codon position.
Source: RNAcentral
GGGCGAGUGGCGGAACUGGUAGACGCGAUGGACUUAAAAUCCAUUGGGCUUAACACUCGUGAGAGUUCGAGUCUCUCCUCGCCCACCA